RNAcentral lists this ribosomal RNA (576 nucleotides) under uncultured bacterium. RNAcentral's name for it is "bacterial SSU rRNA". It matches the Rfam family "Bacterial small subunit ribosomal RNA", at positions 102 to 672 of the family's 1533-position model. The record is from RNAcentral.
ACGGGUGAGUAACGCGUAGGGAUCUACCUUAUGGAGGGGGAUAACCUAGGGAAACUUAGGCUAAUACCGCAUAAAGCUGAGAAGUGAAAGUGAGGGACCCGAAAGGGCCACACGCCAGAAGAUGAACCUGCGUUGGAUUAGCUAGUUGGUGGGGUAAAGGCCUACCAAGGCGAAGAUCCAUAGCUGGUCUGAGAGGACGACCAGCCACACUGGGACUGAGACACGGCCCAGACUCCUACGGGAGGCAGCAGUGGGGAAUAUUGGACAAUGGGCGCAAGCCUGAUCCAGCAAUGCCGCGUGUGUGAAGAAGGCCUGCGGGUUGUAAAGCACUUUCGUUGGGGAGGAAAGGCUCUUGUUUAAGAGAUAAGAGAGAUGACGUUACCCAAAUAAGAAGCACCGGCUAACUCUGUGCCAGCAGCCGCGGUAAUACAGAGGGUGCGAGCGUUAAUCGGAAUUACUGGGCGUAAAGGGUGCGUAGGUGGUUAAUUAAGUUAGAGGUGAAAGCCCUGGGCUUAACCUAGGAAUGGCCUCUAAUACUGAAUAGCUAGAGUUUGGGAGAGGGAAGUGGAAUUUCCG